RNAcentral lists this unclassified non-coding RNA (512 nucleotides) under Hevea brasiliensis (rubber tree). Lineage: Eukaryota; Viridiplantae; Streptophyta; Magnoliopsida; Malpighiales; Euphorbiaceae. The record is from RNAcentral.
UUAAAAAUAUAAAAUUUUAUAAAUUUCAAUUUAAUCAAUUUAAAAUCGAACCGAACCAAUAUUUAUUGAUUCAAUUCAAUUCAAUUUUCUCUUAUUAAUUAAUUUGAUUCAUUUUUAAAAUUUUUAAUUUUUAAUUUUAUCAAUUCGAAAUUGAACUAACAGUUUGCACACUUUUAAUUGAGGUGAGGACUGACGAUUUCAAAAAUCGAUAUCUUCUCCUCCUUUCUUUUAAAAAAGAAAAUAAAAAAAAGCUCUUUUUCCGAGGGUAUCUUCGACGUUGGACCUUAAAUGGCUUUUUACUUAUAGGCUUUAAAAACACAGACAGUAGUUGCCUCCCUAUCGGUCUACAAGAGUAAAGCCUAUAGUCAUUGGGCUUUUCUAAUCUUAGACCUAGUGGCCCAGUGAAUUAUGAAUGGAAAAAUGAAUCGUCACAAAACUUACCUUAGCAAUCAGCGGGAGUGGUUAGGUUGCACUUGGCAGGCAAACCUAAUGCAAGAUCAGGAUCAAUCCCA